ACGAUUGCUAUUGAUAACAGAAUCGAGGAUAGAUUGUAAAUCGUAUUUUUGUAAAACAUAAGUAUCGUGUGAAUGUUGCAACGGGGACAUUGUCUGUUUGCGGGUUUAUUAGUAAACAAACAAUUUAUUGUUACAGUUGCGGAUUGUAAUAAGUUUAAAUUGUAAAAUGGCAUCAGAUAAUAUUUAUAAAUCUAAUUAAAUAUGACGGAUAACGUAAAUAAAGUAAAUUUUAUGCAAAUUGUAAUUAUUGGCAGUUUUGGCAGUGAUUUAUGUUGGUUUUAAAGCUCUAGUGACCGAAUGCAAUCUUGCAGGAAGGUCAGAUUAUAAGUAUUGCUAUUGUUUAUUAUUUUCAAACAUAAAUUUAUGUUAAACGGAGAGGGCUCUGAAAACUGAAUGGAUCUUUGUAGGAGAGUAAUUUUUGUAUAAAAUUGGCUCUAGCAACUGAAUACGAAAUGUGGCCUUACUUAGAUUAUAUUUCGCUGUGUCGCCUAGAUGUGUUUCUGGUGGACUGCUCAUGUGGUUAGAAUUGCACGUGCUUAACGCGGUUUCCGUGGUUUGUGGAAUGCAUGUUUCGAAAACGAUGGAUUAAACAUUAUUCAAUUUUGAGUUUGUGUGAACAAAUGAAUAAUUAAAAUGUGUUGUUUCAUUUCAAUUCUAUGGUCAAUUAUUUGUUUUGGACAAAACACAAUUUAAUCUUAUGUUCUAUUCAACUAUUUGUAAAUUUGUAGGUACAAUUUAGUUUUUAUGUUAAUAAAUGUUUCCAUCAGGAUAAUAUAA
Molecule: long non-coding RNA, 777 nt
Organism: Dalotia coriaria
Lineage: Eukaryota; Metazoa; Arthropoda; Insecta; Coleoptera; Staphylinidae
Exons: 4
Source: RefSeq, a predicted model, not a curated record